RNAcentral lists this non-coding RNA (30 nucleotides) under Mus musculus (house mouse). The record is from RNAcentral. Lineage: Eukaryota; Metazoa; Chordata; Mammalia; Rodentia; Muridae.
UAAACUGGGAUGUGUCCCCUGCAAGCACAC